ACUACCUGAGACUGGGUAAUUUAUGAAGAAAAUGGGUUUAAUUGACUCAAAGUCCCACAGGCUUUACAGGAAGCAUGGCUGGCAGGCCUCAGGAAACUUACAAUCAUGGUGGAAGGUUUUGGACUCUUUAUCUUGCAUUCAAAAUUGAUGAUGAGAAAUAUGUAUGAAUGGCAGUAACCUGAAGAGGCAUAAAUGACAAGGAGUUGAUCAACCCUGAGUUUUCUGAUUUUCAUUAUUUCAAUGGAUUGAAGAAAAUGUUCACUGAAGGAAGAUGAUUAAUUGAUCCAGAGGGCCUGUAGCAACUCUGUUUAACAUGCUAGAUGAGCCAGUCUUAUUCAAUGAUGACUAAGGAUCUAGAGAAAACUGGUGUCAGAUGACUUCUUGGCAGUCAUUUGAAGACUAAAGUAGCUUUGAAGGUGAAGAUUCUUUGUGUUCAUUCUCAUCCUGAUGUAAAAAUACUACCUGAGAUUGGAUAAUUUAUAAACAAAAGAGGUUUAAUUGAUGCACAGUUCCUCAUGCCUGGGGAGGCCGCAGGAAACUUACAAUCAUGGUGGAAGGCAAAAGGGAAGAAGGCACCUUCUUCACAAGGUGGCAGGAGAGACAGUGAGGAAAUGCCAUACUUUAAAACUAUCAGCUCUCAUGAGACUUCACUCAUGAUCACGAGAACAGCAUGGGGGAACCUUCUCCCAUGAUUCAACCACCUCCCACCAGCUCCCUCCUCGACACACGGGGAUUACAAUUUGAGAUGAGAUUUGGGUGGGUACACAGAGACAAACCAUAUCUAUCAAUUCUGGAUGUUUAAUACCAGUAUUAUUAGAGGAGGAUCUAGUCCCCUUCAGGACAUAAGGAUCUAUGAUCCUCUGUCAGAACAUAUUAGACCCUUUCCUUUGGCUAUAACCAAAAGAUUAUAAACAUACAUCCAGGAAUAAAAAUAAUAUAUUAAAAUUUUGUGUGUGUGUGUGCGAAUGCAAAUUUUUUGUGCCAAAUCUAAAGACUCUUUACCUAGUCCUAAGGUGUCUUGAAGAUCUUCUGCAGGUUUUUUUCUAGAAAUUUUAUAGUUUUAUGUUUUACAUUUAAGUCUGUGAUUCAUUUUGAGUUAAUUUUUUUUGUAUAAGAUGUGAAGCUUAAGUUAAGGUUCACGUUUUUGCCCAUGGUUGUUCAAUUGCUCUAAUAGCAUUUAUUGAAAAGGUUAAUGAUUUAUUUGUACUUCUGCCAAAAUUAAUUGAUCAUACUCAUGUGGCCAUACUUCUGCUUUCUCUGUUUUAUACCACUUAGCUUUGUCUAUCUUGCUAUCAAUACCACACUGUCUUGAUUACUGUAGCUAUGUAUUACUGUAGCUAUAUAGUAAACUUUAAUAAAAGGAAGAUGAACUUUCUUCUUCUUUUUUCAAAAUCGUUUUGGCUGUUUAAGGUCUUUUUCUUUUGGUAUACAUUUUAGAGUAAAAGUACAUACUUCUAUGAAAUACCUUACUAAGCUUCUGAUAGGAAAUACGAUAACACUGUCGAACAGUUUAGGGAAGACUGGUAUCUUUACUAAAUCUUCUAACCCAUAAACAUGAUAUUUAGGUCUUCUUGUCUUUCACCCACAUUUUGUAAUUUUCAACAUGUAGAUUCUAUACAAUUUUGUUGAGAU
Gorilla gorilla gorilla (western lowland gorilla) is the source of this 1632-nucleotide long non-coding RNA. RefSeq lists it as uncharacterized. The record is from RefSeq and is a predicted model, not a curated record. The transcript is spliced from 4 exons. Lineage: Eukaryota; Metazoa; Chordata; Mammalia; Primates; Hominidae.